AUUAGAUACCCUGGUAGUCCACGCCGUAAACGAUGCUCACUGGAUCUUGGCGAUACACGGCCAGGGUUCAAGCGAAAGUAUUAAGUGAGCCACCUGGGGAGUACGUCGGCAACGAUGAAACUCAAGGGAAUUGACGGGGGCCCGCACAAGCGGAGGAACAUGUGGUUUAAUUCGAUGAUACGCGAGGAACCUUACCCGGGUUUAAAUGUAGAUUGCAUGAGGUGGAAACGCUUCUUCCCUUCGGGGCUAUUUACAAGGUGCUGCAUGGUUGUCGUCAGCUCGUGCCGUGAGGUGUCGGGUUAAGUCCUAUAACGAGCGCAACCCCUAUCGCCAGUUGCCAUCGGUUGAAGCCGGGCACUCUGUCGAGACUGCCACCGUAAGGUGCGAGGAAGGCGGGGAUGACGUCAAAUCAGCACGGCCCUUACACCCGGGGCGACACACGUGUUACAAUGGCCGGUACAGAGGGCAGCCACGGGGUGACCCGGAGCGAAUCUCUAAAGCCGGUCGUAGUUCGGACUGGAGUCUGCAACCCGACUCCACGAAGUUGGAUUCGCUAGUAAUCGCGCAUCAGCCAUGGCGCGGUGAAUACGUUCCCGGGCCUUGUACACACCGCCCGUCAAGCCAUGGAAGCCGGGAGUACCUGAAGAUCGUGACCGCGAGGAACGGGCUAGGGUAAUACCGGUAACUGGGGCUAAGUCGUAACAAGGUACC
RNAcentral lists this ribosomal RNA (711 nucleotides) under uncultured bacterium. RNAcentral's name for it is "bacterial SSU rRNA". It matches the Rfam family "Bacterial small subunit ribosomal RNA", at positions 777 to 1500 of the family's 1533-position model. The record is from RNAcentral.